AUGGCAGAGAAAUAUACUAGGUGCAGACUUGGGUUUAUUCCAACAUACGGCAAGUUCAUGGUCGUCUCCAUCGGCUGCGGGCUGAACCCGAAAGAGAGCUACAGCACCAAGGACGCCGCCAAGUGGGGGAUCCUAAACUGA
RNAcentral lists this ribosomal RNA (141 nucleotides) under Triticum aestivum (bread wheat). Its description in RNAcentral is "partial small subunit ribosomal RNA". The record is from RNAcentral. Lineage: Eukaryota; Viridiplantae; Streptophyta; Magnoliopsida; Poales; Poaceae.